This 367-nucleotide ribosomal RNA is filed under the name uncultured organism. RNAcentral's name for it is "bacterial LSU rRNA". It matches the Rfam family "Bacterial large subunit ribosomal RNA", at positions 2099 to 2465 of the family's 2925-position model. The record is from RNAcentral.
CUUUACUGUAGCUUUACAUUGGACUUUGAACAGAUCUGUGUAGGAUAGGUGGGAGGCUUUGAAGCGGUGCCGCUAGGUGUCGUGGAGCCAACCUUGAAAUACCACCCUGGUGUGUUUGAGGUUCUAACCUUGGCCCGUGAUCCGGGUUGGGGACAGUGUAUGGUGGGCAGUUUGACUGGGGCGGUCUCCUCCCAAAGUGUAACGGAGGAGUUCGAAGGUACGCUAAAUACGGUCGGAAAUCGUGUUGAUAGUGCAUUGGCAUAAGCGUGCUUGACUGCGAGACUGACAAGUCGAGCAGGUACGAAAGUAGGACAAAGUGAUCCGGUGGUUCUGUAUGGAAGGGCCAUCGCUCAACGGAUAAAAGGUA